GGGGAAAAGAUCUCAGAGACGGAUGAGUGCCUUCGGGAGCCGUAACACAGGUGCUGCAUGGCUGUCGUCAGCUCGUGUCGUGAGAUGUUGGGUUAAGUCCCGCAACGAGCGCAACCCUUGUCCUUAGUUGCCAUCAUUAAGUUGGGCACUCUAAUGAGACUGCCGGGGACAAACCGGAGGAAGGUGGGGAUGAAGUCAAAUCCUCCUGGCCCUUAUGACCAGGGCUUCACACGUCAUACAAUGGUCGGUACAAAGGGUAGCCAAGCCGCGAGGUGGAGCCAAUCUCACAAAACCGAUCGUAGUCCGGAUUGCACUCUGCAACUCGAGUGCAUGAAGUCGGAAUCGCUAGUAAUCGCAGGUCAGCAUACUGCGGUGAAUACGUUCCCG
RNAcentral lists this ribosomal RNA (387 nucleotides) under uncultured Neisseria sp. RNAcentral's name for it is "bacterial SSU rRNA". It matches the Rfam family "Bacterial small subunit ribosomal RNA", at positions 990 to 1376 of the family's 1533-position model. The record is from RNAcentral. Lineage: Bacteria; Pseudomonadati; Pseudomonadota; Betaproteobacteria; Neisseriales; Neisseriaceae.